RNAcentral lists this ribosomal RNA (253 nucleotides) under uncultured bacterium. RNAcentral's name for it is "partial 16S ribosomal RNA". It matches the Rfam family "Bacterial small subunit ribosomal RNA", at positions 524 to 776 of the family's 1533-position model. The record is from RNAcentral.
UACGUAGGGGGCAAGCGUUGUCCGGAAUCAUUGGGCGUAAAGAGCGUGUAGGCGGUCCGAUAAGUCCGCUCUGAAAGCCCGGGGCUCAACCCCGGGAGGCGGGCGGAUACUGUCGGGCUAGAGUCCGGAAGAGGCAAGUGGAAUUCCUGGUGUAGCGGUGAAAUGCGCAGAUAUCAGGAGGAACACCUGUGGCGAAGGCGGCUUUCUGGGCCCUACCUGACGCUGAGACGCGAAAGCGUGGGGAGCGAACAGG